CCCAAAAAGUGCGUCGUAGUCCGGAUUGGAGUCUGCAACUCGACUCCAUGAAGUCGGAAUCGCUAGUAAUCGUGGAUCAGAAUGCCACGGUGAAUACGUUCCCGGGCCUUGUACACACCGCCCGUCACACCAUGGGAGUGGGCUGCAAAAGAAGUAGGUAGUUUAACCUUCGGGGGGACGCUUACCACUUUGUGGUUCAUGAC
RNAcentral lists this ribosomal RNA (203 nucleotides) under Vibrio parahaemolyticus. RNAcentral's name for it is "partial 16S ribosomal RNA". It matches the Rfam family "Bacterial small subunit ribosomal RNA", at positions 1273 to 1475 of the family's 1533-position model. Lineage: Bacteria; Pseudomonadati; Pseudomonadota; Gammaproteobacteria; Vibrionales; Vibrionaceae. The record is from RNAcentral.